Long non-coding RNA from Vitis vinifera (wine grape), 662 nucleotides. RefSeq lists it as uncharacterized. The transcript has 3 exons. The record is from RefSeq and is a predicted model, not a curated record. Lineage: Eukaryota; Viridiplantae; Streptophyta; Magnoliopsida; Vitales; Vitaceae.
UUAAGCUCAACCCAUUUCGAUAUAUUCAGACCUAGUCCAAGCGAAUAUCCAGGUCCUAGCUUAUAUUAGGGUUAGGGUUUCACCGAAUUCGAAUUUCCUCGGUGAAGAAGGCGAAGAUCAGAGAGAGAAGGAAAAAAAGAAAAUUAAUGGCGUCGACAGUGGGAUGAGGUGCAGCGGUGCAGUUCUGGAGAGCAGCGGGGAUGAUGUACAUAUCCUACUCGAACAUCUGUGCGAAUCUAGUGAAGAACUGCCAUUCAAAUCCGAAGCCCUCACUCGCGAGAAGGUCCAUUUCUCCAUUUCCAAAUGGGAUAAUGGCGUUCCCCAGAAGCCCAGUUUGAGAUAGAGGUGUUGGCAAUUUUGGGGUCUUUUUAGAGGGCAGUGCUUGAAGAUUAAUGCUAGAGAUAUGGUAUCCAAGAAAUAUAGCAAAAAAAGAAGAAGAUGAUGAAGAAUUAGAGACCCUCUUACGAAGAUAGUAUUGUACUUUUUAAUUUAAGUUUGUAUAUUAUCUUAAUUGAAUGUUUGUAAUUAAUUUUUUUUUUUGUAUAUGGAAAACAGAGAGUAACUAGAAAAAUAUUUAUUCCAUUGUGUUUUUAAUAUUCAAAUGUAUAUAUAAUAUUUUUUUUCCUUGAGUAAUAGUUUAUUUGUAUGGUUUUAGGACUUAA